This 480-nucleotide ribosomal RNA is filed under the name uncultured bacterium. Its description in RNAcentral is "partial 16S ribosomal RNA". It matches the Rfam family "Bacterial small subunit ribosomal RNA", at positions 28 to 507 of the family's 1533-position model. The record is from RNAcentral.
GACGAACGCUGGCGGCGUGCUUAACACAUGCAAGUCGAACGGUAAGGCCCGAGUUUGCUUGUGUACACCAGUGGCGAACGUGGGAGUAACACGAGAGUCACCUGCCCGAGACUCCGGGAUAAUGGCUGGAAACUGGGGCUAAUACCGGAUAUGACCGAUAUGUGCAUAGUGUGGUGUGGGUAGUGUUCGUCGGUUGGUGUGCGGUCGGGGGUGCGCCCGCGGGUUAUGCGCUUGUUGGUGGGCUAAUGGCUUACCAAGGCGGCGACGGGGAGCCGGCCUGGGAGGGUGGACGGCCACACUGGGACUGCGACUAGGCCCAGACUCCUACGGGAGGCAGCAGUGGGGAAUAUUGCACAAUGGGCGGAAGCCUGAUGCAGCAACGCCGCGUGGGGGAUGACGGCCUUCGGGUUGUAAACCGCUUUCACCAUGGACGAAGCGUUAGUGACGGUAGUUGGAGAAGAAGCACCGGCUAACUACGUG